AUUUAGGUAGCUUAAUUAAAGUUUGAUAUUGAAAAUAUCUUGAUAGUUUAAAACUUCUAAAUA
Molecule: transfer RNA, 63 nt
Filed under: Loxocephala perpunctata
Lineage: Eukaryota; Metazoa; Arthropoda; Insecta; Hemiptera; Eurybrachidae
Description: tRNA-Phe
Source: RNAcentral